Apis cerana (Asiatic honeybee) is the source of this 4910-nucleotide long non-coding RNA. RefSeq lists it as uncharacterized. The record is from RefSeq and is a predicted model, not a curated record. Lineage: Eukaryota; Metazoa; Arthropoda; Insecta; Hymenoptera; Apidae.
UUGAGAUCGUUGGAUCGUCUUAUAAAAGAGAGCAUUGAAAGAUUAUUAUUCUUUCUUACGAAGAAUCUGAGAGAUAUCAGAAACCUGGCUUUGUAUUUUUAAAAGGCGCGUCUGUAACGUUCCCAGACUAUGAAAAUAACUCGCGCCCUUAGGUAUUUAUGGCGUUACUCCCCGCUGAAUAUCACGAGAUGAGGAAUAAGAGAGCGGGUUAUUCGUAUUUCGGCGUUGAAAGGUAAAAGAAUCAUCGUGCGUUCCGUGAUUUCGUUAAAGAUUUUGAAAUAGAUCCGUGCGAAUAAUUAAAAAGUUGAUUAGAAAAUUUUUUUAUCCUCGACACGAAUUUUUAUUCCAAUUUAUACAUUUUUUCGCACAACUUCCAAAUCCAUUAAUCCAUUAAUUUUGAUCCAUACGAAUUUUCGCUCGAUCGAUACCAGACGCACGACUGUUACGAGAUAGAAAUUUCUAAUUUUAAAUUCAGAGGAGAUCACCUGUGUUCAAUGAUGUACGGUCGUCGCAGGUGGCCUAACGGUUUUUCAAAAGAGAAAAAGAAAAUUGGCCUACACGCGAGGAACGGACGGUUUAAAAUGUCGUCUUGAUAACUCUCUUCCGCUCGCGACCCGUGGACUCGUAAAUCGUGUUAGCAUGACACCGAAACGAAAACCGUCUCGCUUCCAUCUCGAACCGCGUUUUCCACCGCUAAAUGGAUUUAAACGGUCACUAAAUCAGCCUGGUAAAACGCAACGCGUCACGUGGGCAGAACAAGCGUAAUUGCCCGAUCUCGAAACCGAUUUCGUUCUCGUUACACGCCGAUCGUAAAUACUUAUGCGCGCAUAGUCCUCGCGUCGUGUUACGUGUGGGAAUCGGUCGUUCGCUCCCGACUUGUCCACUUUUCCACGCGCUCUGCCGCUCGGUCACGCGGUGUUAGAGGUUAUAGGAGGAAUUUCGCGGACAGAAGUUUCCCUGAACGGUCGCUAGAGAGCAAUUUAUAGCCGCAUUGUGAGUCACUUGUAAUACCGCGGUUAGUUCAAAACUUCGAAUACGGGGACGCUAUAUAUUAAAUGAAUUCUACGCUUGGCGUCGUUUUAUAUUUUGUUGCAGAGUCUUGCUCGUCGGAUUGAAGUGAUUUUAUAAUCGGAUGGGAUAAACUUGUGGAAAAAAUGGACGAAUCGGUCACUUUCGUAUUAUUUAUUCCUUGCUGGUUGAAAUACGUGAUGAUUCGUGGCAAAGUUUUUACAUCUUCUGUUUACUUACUUCUAUUCUCCCAUCGUGUGGGAAACGUCGGAUAGCGAGUGAUGUUUCUCACGGUUUAUAAAAGUAAAUUUUUUCGGAUCGGUCGCAUCCCGGCUGGAGAAUUAAAAUGACAAAGGGUCCGCGUAUCUUUUGUGUAGUUAUCCGUGCUAUGCGCUUUAAAAACACGCUUAGGCAUCCGAGGGAUUUAGCCAGUCGUUGUUCGAAUGUAGUCGACCUCAGACCACGCUUGCGCCGCUUGAAUAGGAAAAGAGCAAUCUGCUGAUACGUCCUCGCAAGAAUUCAUACACCGCCGCCUCGAAAUCCGACGCGUUAUUCUUAACGGGUUCCAGAUUUCCGAAUAACUCGAGAAGAAGUCGACGUUUAAUUCUUCAUCCUUUAAAUAUAUGUACACGGUAUAUAAAACUAUUAGGAGAGAAUUUUAACGUGAAGCUUUUUAAAAGAGAUAUCUUUCUCUUUUUUUAAGUUCUUUUUUUAGGUUAGGAAGUAAGGUUAAGAUAGGUUAGAAUCAAAAUGGUGGUGUAUGUAGAGGUUGAAAAUGGCCGACUUUUCAGUCCCUUCUUUUUAAGAAGAAAGGAGCAAUAUAGAUGUAAAAAAGAUGAUAAAUUUUUAAUAUUUCCAAUUUUUAGAUUAGAAGAGUAGAUAUCUGAAACUAGUUAGCUUUUAUAAUCGGGUAGAUAUAAAGAGGAACAUAUAAUAAAGAAACAAUGUAUUUAUGAGAAUUUGCAAUGUAUCUUACGUUCACUCCUAAAUCUAAAUCACUCAACUUUGACGCUAGAAACCCAGUCAAAUGCCCGUUUCAAUCACGUGAAGCAAUAAAAUUGACAAGUAGGAAGGGGGGAAAAACAAUUCUAUUAAAUUAAACCUCGCAUUAUUAAAGACCAGUGUUCGAAGUUGUUCGGUUUCUAGAGGGAGAAUGUUCGCCAAUUCUCAGACACUGCACAGGGAGGAGGAUAACAGGAUCGCGCUAGGGAAUUUUUUCGCAUGGCGGUUGAACGAGGCUGCUCAAAAAGAAUCCGCCGUGUUUUCCACCGUGUUUGAACCGGAACUAACGGCGUCUGGCUGCUUUAACGCCAGACUAAGAGGUGUGUUCUCGAAAGCGACAAGGAACGCUUAAUUUGCCCCAUCGGAAUACACACAGCUCACUUUUCCUUUCCGUUAAAUCUAGGCUGGUUCUUGUUUCUGUCUGAGAUUCGAUACAUCCUCUCGCGCUCGAAAUAAUUGAUUGGUUGCAGGAAAAUUUCGCGAAACGAACAGAAAGUUUGAUGAUAUAGUCGAAUACGAUGUUCUCAUUGUUACAAAUAAAUUUAGAUGGAGAUUAAGAUAUAGUCUAUGGAAACAUGAAAAUUUGGCCUAAAUUGGUUGCGAUAAAAUGUUGGAUGCAGUUCAGAUUGAGUAAAUUGGGGAACAAAUUUUUUGUUAUUUUGGUUAAUAUUCUUUCGUACUCUCUACUUUCUACUUUUGUUAUCCUGCAAAAUUUCUUUCUUUUUCUUCUAGCUUUGCUCUCUAAAAAAAUUUGGAAUAUUUAACGCGACUUUCUCGUUAAUUUCAGAACAAAAUCUUACAGAUCGCUACCUAAUGUUAAUAAUCUGUCACGAAAUUUCUUUCUUUACUUCUUUAUUUACUUUUCUUCCAAACAUACACGAACAUUUAUUGGGAAAUUUUCGAAAACCUUUUGUCCGCAAACAGUUUGCAACAGUUGCAAGGUUGGAGCCAAGUUGGUUCAAUUUGCAUUUAUGACACGAUUUCUUAUGGAUGCAUGAAUGCAAACAGCAUUUCUCCACUGCUGUGCGUUUCAUAAAAGACGAGAGAGAAAUUUGCGCGAUCGUUUUCGUGAAAAAACACGUGUUUUCAAGAUAUUUCCCCAAGGUGGAGGACACCGUGAUGAAUAAUCGAAUUCGAUAAAUUCGAUAAUGCGAUAGCUUUCGUGUUUCCGCAAACUUGUUGAAUCGUGAUUCGUUGGAAAUAAUAUUUUAUCGUUUCUAGAAAGAAGUUGCAUGAUCGAUAAUUUAACAUUUUAAGCACAUUUUAAAAUAUUUUAUUCCUCUGUCGAAGCUUUGAAAACAGUAAGUGUAGUAAAAAAAUUAAAGGAAAUAAAAGUAAAAGUUGAUAAAACAUACUCGUUCGAAUCGUGUUUUUCAAGUUAUAAUUUAAUUUAAUUUUGGAUUAAAUAAAGCGAAAUAUUAGAUAUGUUUCUUAUUGUGGGACUAAGUUCGGGUUAAUUGAAAGUAACGAGUGAAUUUUUGUUUAGAAAUAGAUCAAAAGUGAAAAAAUUAAGAGAAUAAUUUUAAAAGUCUGACGUAUAAAUUAAAUUAAUGAAAAAUUCCAAUGAGUGAACAACGAAAAUAGAACGAUUACAAUUCGAGUCUUUGUGGGAUCCGGCAUUGCGCAAUAAUCGAAACUAUUUCAAUGAAUCAAAGCGUUAUUUUAUAAAAAUAUGCCGAAUUCUAUUUUUAGAUCAUCGAAAGAAUCAUCAAUAACUCAUUGUUUCCGGUUAAGACGUAAGCCAAAACCUUUAAAAGUUUUUAACAGCUACGUAAACAGAAGAGCUUACGUAAUCAUGUGCAGAAUGUGUAUCGCUCCUGCAAUGGAAUUUUAUAUUUCUCUGCAAACCCGAUAAUUGGCUAUAAUUUAACGGUAACGACUUUAUUGAUUGACUUAGUUAAUGAAUUAAAUAAAAGAAUGUUCGUAAAAAAAAAAACGAUCGUUUCCUUGAAUGGAGCUUAGAUAACGAAUGGUUUAAGCGAGAUGAUAUUUAAUUCCAUCCAAUAAUUCCACUAGAUUUUUCGAUUCCUUUUUUCUUUUUAUAAAAACACGUCAAUAUUUCUUCUAAAUAUAUCUUCUGAAUACAUUUUAUUUUAAGCCGAAACAUUUAUUUAUGAUGAUAUUAUUAAACAAAUUUUAAAUCUAUGUUUGAUACGCGAAUAGUAUACAAAAUGUAUUGUCCAUUUGUAAAAUUUGGAUUAAUAUAAAAUCCCUUCGUUACACGCUUUUUUAAAUCAGGAAUUGCGUGCAAGAGAGAAAAGUGCACAAAGCUCGUGGAGUAUCGAUUAGGGAAGGACUGGCAAACGUGGUUGUCUUAUCUGACAACCACGCGGUAAAACAUGCUGUGUUUACUCUUAUUUAAGGUGAAUCAUUGGAACAACCCAAUCCCUGGUAUCGCGGAACAACACAUUGGAUUCCUUGGAGAUUUGCAAUUAGCAUAGAGGGAGAUUCUCAAUACUCGUGAAAUUGACAGUCAUUGAAACAAAUAUGGUUAGAUGUUCCAGGGUGGUCUCUCUGCAGGCCAUGCUAGCCAGAGCUUUGCCUCGCAAGCGCCGAAAGCUCGUAUUGAUCGCCUUUAGCCCAUUUCGUAUCAAGUUCAAGCGCAAGUCCUUAAGUUUUCUACGAAGGACGAACUCCUUUCUCCUCGAGAACAUUGACGACAUAAAGUGGACGAAGAAGGUUGCUCGAUCGAAAGAACAAGAAGAGAAAGUGCUCUCCUCCCUUUUCUUUUCGUAAUUGUUUCUUGGCAGAAAAGUGACGAUCCUUAAUCAACGUUUCAUUAGGAAAUUUGGGUUAAGUAUACCGGUGCGAGGAAUUUUAAAUGUGGUAAAUGUUAUAAGGGGAUUCAUAAAAUAAUAAUAUAUUAUAUUUAAUAAAAUAAACUUAUUUUUGUUACGGUA